Molecule: ribosomal RNA, 113 nt
Filed under: Caerostris darwini
Lineage: Eukaryota; Metazoa; Arthropoda; Arachnida; Araneae; Araneidae
Source: RNAcentral
AACGGCCAUACCAUGCUGAAUAUACCGGUUCUCGUUAGAUCACCGAAGUCAAGCAUCAUUGGGCGCGGUCAGUACUUGGGUGGGUAACCACCUGGGAACACCGCGUGCCGUUG